GAUAAGGGACAUCAGCUUGUGCCAAUCGAACAAGGUGAUACACCCAGCCCAGGUGGGGUUGGUCGAGGCCCAACAAAUUAGGGUUGCCCGGAGCCCAACAGUUCAUUAAGCACACCCAACACAGGGAAAGGCCCAAUCGCCCCAAAAGACUAGUCCAAUGGGGGAAGGGUGGCUCUCCCUUUUAAAGUGGCUUCCUCCUCCCAAGUUAAGCGAGGUGGGAUAUCUGAGGCUCACACGGUCGCCGUCCGACUACAAUUGGGCCAACUGGGCCAAUUGCGUCUUUGCCAACGGGUAAUAGUGGAGGAUGUCCUCAUCAUUCCCACCUUCUUAAAAUGGGCCCCAGCUCUGAUAUCAUAUGAUACACCCAGCCCAGGUGGGGUUGGCCGAGGCCCAACAAAUUAGGGUUGCUCGGAGCCCAACAGUUCAUUAAGCACACCCUACUCAGGGAAAGACCCAAUCGCCCCAAAAGACUAGUCCAAUGGGGGAAGGAUGGCUCUCCCUUUUAAAGUGGCUUCCUCCUCCCAAGUUAAGCGAGGUGGGAUAAUUCUGAGGCUCACACGGUCGCCGUCCGACUACAAUUGGGCCAACUGGGCCAAUUGCGUCUUUGCCAAUGGGUAAUAGUGGAGGAUGUCCUCAUCAUUCCCACCUUCUUAAAAUGGGCUCUAGCUCUGAUACUAGAUGAUACACCCAGCCCAGGUGGGCUUGGCCGAGGCCCAACAAAUUAGGGUUGCCCGGAGCCCAAUAGUUCAUUAAGCACACCCUACUCAAGGAAAGACCCAAUCGCCCCAAAAUACUAGUCCAAUGGAGGAAGGGUGGCUCUCCCUUUUAAAGUGGCUUCUUCCUCCCAAGUUAAGCGAGGUGGGAUAAUUCUGAGGCUCACACGGUCACCGUCUGACUACAAUUGGGCCAACUGGGCCAAUUGCGUCUUUGCCAACGGGUAAUAGUGGAGGAUGUCCUCAUCAUUCCCACCUUCUUAAAAUGGGCCCUAGCUCUGAUACCAGAUGAUACACCCAGCCCAGGUGGGGUUGGCCGAGGCCCAACAAAUUAGGGUUGCCCGGAGCCCAACAGUUCAUUAAGCACACCCAACUCAGGAAAGGCCCAAUCGCCCCAAAAGACUAGUCCAAUGGGGGAAGGGUGGCUCUCCCUUUUAAAGUGGCUUCCUCCUCCCAAGUUAAGCGAGGUGGGAUAAUUCUGAGGCUCACACGGUCGCCGUCCGACUACAAUUGGGCCAACUGGGCCAAUUGCGUCUUUGCCAACGGGUAAUAGUGGAGGAUGUCCUCAUCA
RNAcentral lists this long non-coding RNA (1284 nucleotides) under Zea mays. RNAcentral describes it as "long non-coding RNA (ZMAY_LNC001018)". The record is from RNAcentral. Lineage: Eukaryota; Viridiplantae; Streptophyta; Magnoliopsida; Poales; Poaceae.